GUGUGGACUAAAACACCCUUGCUGACUUUAGCAGCCUUGUCGUAGCUGUGUUGCGACACCAUCAAGCCUGUGGCGCAACUUCGAUGACAAUGUACUCUUUUGGUGUGCGUUCAAGGCUGUGUUGCGACAUCCUCUAGUGUGUGUCACGACAUGGAUGGCAAUAUUCUCCUGAGGUAUUCUGGAAGGCGUGGUGUGACAUCCAAGCAGAAUGUUGCAACAUAAGGAGCAGUCUAUUGACUUUUUGACCUUAAUCAAAGUCCUCACACUCAUGCAACAUGUUUGUCCUCC
RNAcentral lists this long non-coding RNA (288 nucleotides) under Gossypium barbadense (sea-island cotton). Its description in RNAcentral is "long non-coding RNA (GBAR_LNC014126)". The record is from RNAcentral. Lineage: Eukaryota; Viridiplantae; Streptophyta; Magnoliopsida; Malvales; Malvaceae.